UGGGUGUUGGGCUGGCAACUCGGCACCAUAAAAAUCUACUGCCAAUCAUUAGCAGACCAGAGUUCCGCUGUGGCGACCCCUUACUGGGAAAAGCCAAAAAGAAAAACAACAACAAAGGUCUUUAAUUCAGGAUUUAUCCAUUGUUCAUUCCAAAAUGUUCUUUCUCACUUUUAACAAUAGAAAGCAAAACCAUCCAAGGUUCAUGAUGCUUCCAUGUAGUAUUUUUUUUCCUUGGAAAAGCUACGUAUAAGUCAGGAACCUCUUCUCUUUUCAAAAUGAAUGUAGUAUACACGUUGAAAGCAUCAGUAUUGUUAAGGGUAAAUAAAAUAUUUCAGUCUGUGGCAGAAAAAGUAGAAAGUACUACCUGUGCAGGGGCCAGUACUCAGUCAUAUCUCCCUGAACAAGGAAAUUCAUGGUCAUUUUAUUGAAAAUCCUUAUCAAGGUAAUAAACUAUCAGACGUCUGCUAGCAUCCAAUAGAAAAUAGCUGAACAAUACACUUUAUUCCUCAGAGCGCUACUAAAUAUCGAAAUAGAAUAUGCCAGGUUUAGUAAAAAUACAUCUGCAGCUUCUUAUCUACAGUUUUACCUAGUGAAAAAUAAGUUUACUUUUACCAGGUGAUUUACAAAAAAUGCUGCCUCAGGCUCAAAAAACAAAAUGUAACAUUCUGUUCUUGUUCAUAGUUGCACAGUACUUUUGCAGUCACAUACACCAGCCUUCUGAGAGACUUGCAAUUUCAUUUUAACCCAUUACAGUAUAUACCUUUAAAUAAGAAGAUAAAUCACUAAAUCGGAUGGAGUUUCCUGUUCUAGUCACAUUUCGGUCAUUCUUGCAUCUCAUUUGCCUUAUGCCAGAGACUGAAUUUAUUUUUUCAGUAGUUGUACCACAAUUGGUGUGGCAGUGUGGUGGCCAGCUUUUUAUGCACAGUUUUGACUAAUAUAGACUAUAACUAAAAAUAAAGUUUUUUAGACAGGCACAAACAGAUAAUUUUUAUAGUUGUACAUGCACUGAUACACAAGUAAAAACAUUUUUUUCAGAUGUAUUCACAUAGUUCACCAUUCUAGUAAUGAUUUUCAGUGUUGUCGUUACAUUAUUAGCACUUUUAAUUAACCUUAGGUUCCUUUGUGGUAUCACAUUGUUCUCUUUGUGCACUCUGCUCACCACCACACACCUAUAGCAUGAUUUUAGAAGUAUGCAGACAGUGACUCACCAGUGCUACUAUCUGCUAUUAAAGCUGACAAGGUAUAUGCUCUAAGGUUUUUCUUCCAAUCAUGUUUAAUAAGUGACAUUAAGGGGAAACUUCUGUCAUAUACACACAUCAGCAGAAAAGGUAAUUAUAACAAAUAUUUUUACAUCAUAUCAUUCUUCAAAAGAAUUCUAUGCUGCUCUUCAAUAGACUUCAGCAGCUGGAUGCAUAAGCUUUAUCCUUUCCAAGACUGCUGAAGCAGAAUCAUGCCCCUUAUGUUAGUGUGUUACAGUGCAGAAUGGUCUGCUCUUCCAGAAGCAUGUGGCACAGUGGUUAACAAUCCUUCCCCACACCCACUGAGUUCCACAGUUCCAUUCUUUGGUGAGGUGCCACCUUUAAAUAAACAAAUAAUCACUUUCCGUGGCACAAAGGAUAGACCAGAUGGGUUAGCAUAGUAUAUUUUAAUAUCCACUUUUGUAAAUACUUCAACAGAACUCUGAGUUCUGAUGAAGUAUUUACAAAAGUGGAUAUUAAAACUUACUAUGCUAUCCCAUCUGGUCCUAGCCUUUGUGCCACUGGAAGUGUUUAUUUGUGGACUCUCUUCACUUUGCCUUCAUGGUUGAUUUUUAAUUGGCUUUGAGGUGCCAUCUUUGCAAAGCUUGCUCAUCUCCCACGUGCCUGCUUUUUUUUUUUUUUUUUUCGUUUGGGGGGCUCCGUUCUUCCCAUAUCCUAAAGUCAUGCCAUAUAUCAUCUCAUGGAAUGGUGUGAUGUAAGGGAUUAGAUUCUGUACAUUGCAUCCUCUCAGUGCCAGGAUAGGCUGCAGGUCCACCAUGACCCUGAACCAAAUAAAACAGGUAGUCAGAGAAUGAAUGAAUUAAUUACUUAAACAAACCUAGCAAAACUUGUACUUCUCCACAGCCCUUUAAGGAGUUAGGCCCAUGAGUCCAGCUAUCUCCAUAGCCCUUUAAGAUGUUUGGCCCAUGAAUCCAGUUAAGCUGAACAUUGCCAUUUCUUUAGUUACACAUUCAGUUGUGAAUUCAGAGAAACAUAUUCUUGAUUAAUGUAUAGCCGUAUACAGCAUUUUAAUUACAUUUAACAUAUUGAUCCUGGCCAUUUUUUGCAUCAUCUUCAGGGUGUGAUCUUUUAGAGGCAGAAAAAGUGAGCUGAACAUCUUCGUAAUCCAGUGUACAAAUUUCUGCAUCUGGCUGAGGCAGGGAUUUCAGUUUUGUCAUAAGUGGAGUAACUAUAGCUUGCACUAAAUCUACUGUUAUAGAAAUUUGCCGAAAUGUCAUUCCCAGCCUGGACCUGCAGUAUUACUUUAACUUCCUCAGAGUUGCCAGUUUCCCUGAAUUUCUCUGUACCAUUUCCUGAUGCAUCCUGCAGAUGUAUUACAAGAGGGGGUAGAUAGGUUACAAGUUGUCCUUCCUUAGCAUGUAGGAUGCAUGACAAUCAACUGGCCCUGCCCGUGUUCAUGAAAUGCAAUACCUUCAUUCCUAAAUCUUCCCCUUAAACUGGUUCAGUCUGCAGACUAAAGAAUACUGCUUCAAAAAAAAAAACACAAUAAAAAGUGUUUGCUCCACAGUUGAACAUUGUUUUGUUUCCUUAGUCAGUGAUGCAAUGGCUAAAAUGUGGAGUUGCACACAGUACACCAUUUUUAAAAGUCUAGCUUCUUUUUUCAGUAUUACCAUUGCCUGAAUUUUGCUGCCUGACAUGGCUUAGAUCCCAUUGAAACAACAAACAAAUAACUUGCUUCCUGCCUGGGAUGUGGGAUUCUUUCUUGUAUUUAUUGUUGAUGAGCUUUUUUUUUUCAUCUGCAGUAUCAUGUCAUUCUGGCCAUAUAGUAUGCCCUUUUUGGAGUCUACAGUGACAAUUCAUAAAUCCAAUGCAAACCAAAACUACUAAAGAUACAGGUAGCACUUAAAUGCGCACAGAUAGAGAACCAAAAACAAUAACUCAGUAUCCAAAAAUACUUCAUUUAAAACAACAAAACGCUUAAAUGCAUAUAAAUAGAAACAGAAAAAGAACCAAAAACUAUCAGCUUUGAAUCCAGAAGGCACAUACAUAAAAAAGGAACCAAAAUCAAUAAUUCUAGAUGCAAAAAUGUAUUUUUAAAUAAAAAGAAAAGGAGCAUGGAUGAGGUCUUGAGUCUCAUUCAGUUUAACAUACAAAAAUACAUUUAGAAGCCAGUUUUCAUAACACAUGUGCUUGCAUAAAGUAAUAACAUUUAUCUCCUCAGCUUUAAACAUAGCACCAGACUGUCUCUUAUUUAUGCUGAAACCAUGACAGGCUUCUCAUUUUCCCUGCCAGUCUGUUUCAUAUUACAGUAAUAAGGGUUCCAUGUUAUCAUCCCUAAUACUUUGAGCAAUAACUUGUAAGCAGUGGAAUUCUAUAACAUAUUCUGUUGAUUUCCCCUCCCUGAACACAAGUAGGCUGCUAUGUGUAAUACUUGCUACAAUAGAAUUACAAAAAUGGUGCUCUAAUGUAUUUUUUAACCAUAUAUCUGUAUAUUUACGUUUACUGUAGUGACUACUGGCUUAAGACCAUUUGGACUGAUUAUAAAUUACUUGCUGCUUUUUUAUAGUCUGUCAGGCUAUCUUGUAUCAUUCUAUUUCUAUUCAUUAUCAUUAGCGUAGUGUACUGUGCCCAUUGCAUGACAAAUUUCUUUUUGUUGUAUAGACUUUUUCUAGUGCAUGUGCAAAGCAAAAUAAAUGCAUUGAACAUUCUGUUUAAACUGCAUGGAAUAUUACAUUAUCUAGUAACAUUUUUCUGAGUAGGCACACAAUUUCAAUUUAUUAUUAAGGUUUGUACUAAAAGAUUAGUGACAUUUUAUACCCACUAUAUUUCUUCCAAACACUGUCAGCUUACGGACUUUGUAUUGCAGACUGCAGCUUAAUGCAGAUGAAGUCUGCAAUACAAUCAGUGUUUCCUGUGUUUUGGUUUUAAAGUAGUUGCAUAUCAUCUUAAUAUUAGACACAUCAAAACACUUUAUUCAUAUUAUUUAUUUUGAUAACUCUUCAAAAAAAAAUACUUUUCAUGUUGUGGUAGUUAUAUCAUUAAAGAUUUCACCUACUUAAAUGUAUGUUAUAUUAAAAAUACAGCCAUUUCUGUUGGGUAUUCAUUCACUUGGAGUAUGCAAUUUUUUACUGAUAUUUUUCAAGACACAUUCACGAUGGACUACAGCACUGGCCAGGAGACUCAACAAAAAUCUAUUUUUUGGGCUAAUGGAUAAAUGUAACUUCAUAUAAAAUCUAAAAAAUAUAGAACAGGAAAACUAAAUGUGUGCAUAUGGUUUCACCUAGACAUUGCAACUUGAAGUUUGUGUCUCAAGUCGUUUUACCCUGAAACUGUAACAGUUCACCUUAUUAACAAAUAAUGUAUAAAAUACAACAUGAUGUUUGGAGACAAAAACCUUUUGCACAAUGUAGCAUGUGUUUGUAUUAUUUUUUUAACCUGUGUCUAAAGACUAAAACUGGGCAUUUAUAGUUUGUUUGCAGAAUAUUCAAUAACAUUAAAAUUUUUUUUAAAGUUUCUCUAUCUUUUAUCAGUCAGAAGGUUAGUAUGUCCAUGGCUUGAUGCUAGGGGCAGGGCUAAUGAAAAUUUGUACUUUUCAUAUCUGUUUUCUUCAAAUACAUAGCAGAAGUACCAGUAGUUUGACAUAAAUUCUGUAAAAUAACAUCCUGUAUUUCUGUUUUGUAGCACACCGUGUUCAUGUUUGUAGAUACUAUGACAGACAACGUUUUAGAUGCAUUAAAUAAAAAGAAAUGUCUGCAGCAAUUGGCCAUAUA
Long non-coding RNA from Protopterus annectens (West African lungfish), 4969 nucleotides. RefSeq lists it as uncharacterized. Lineage: Eukaryota; Metazoa; Chordata; Ceratodontiformes; Protopteridae. The record is from RefSeq and is a predicted model, not a curated record. The transcript has 2 exons.